AGAGCUGCAUCAUCAAGCGGUACUGCGAGAAGAGGUUCGUGCCCAAGUACCUGGCCACCAUCGGCAUCGACUACGGCGUCACCAAGGUGCAGAUCCGGGACCGGGAGAUCAAGGUGAACAUCUUCGACAUGGCCGGGCACCCCUUCUUCUACGAGGUGCGGAACGAGUUCUACAAGGACACGCAGGGGGUGCUGCUGGUGUACGACGUGGGCUCCAAGGAAUCCUUCG
This 228-nucleotide long non-coding RNA is filed under the name Zonotrichia albicollis (white-throated sparrow). RNAcentral describes it as "lncRNA (ENSZALG00000004606.1)". Lineage: Eukaryota; Metazoa; Chordata; Aves; Passeriformes; Passerellidae. The record is from RNAcentral.